AAACGCAACUCGAAACUCUCACCCAUUGCAAGAAUAUCCGUCAGAAAAAUCCAAAGAUGAAAAAAAUCCCAAAAUCGGGUAAUAAUUCGGUUAACAUUGUUGCACGUGAGCCAGCUUAAUGAUGGAAAUCGGAAAGCUGAUUUCGCGCGCUGGAUUUUCGAUAAUUGCUCGACUCGUUCGACUGGCGCGUCGACGUUAAUUUAUUAAUCGCAUAGACGUGGGUUCGACGAGCAAUCGCGAGGGCGCCACACGAUAUACGCAGGGAACACAAGCUGCGGUUUCAUCUGCGCUCGUAUUAAACGAAAUUACCCAUCGAAGGGAAGAGAGGCGCGACCGGCGAGCGUCCACAGGCCCCGGCUCGAAUUCCAUUUCGCCGUUUCGACCGAUCACUAAUCGAAUUUUUCUCCGUGCACAAUGGUCCGGAAAGGGAUUUUAAUGAUAUCACUUGGAGUAUUUCACAGCCGAAACGCGUCGUUGAAAAGGGGAAUAUUGAUUUCCCCAUGAUAUCGACCAUAGAGAGAGAUUUAUCGGGCUUCGAGGCGG
RNAcentral lists this unclassified non-coding RNA (543 nucleotides) under Bombus terrestris (buff-tailed bumblebee). Its description in RNAcentral is "misc RNA ENSBTSG00005035865.1". Lineage: Eukaryota; Metazoa; Arthropoda; Insecta; Hymenoptera; Apidae. The record is from RNAcentral.